GUCAUUUUUUGGGUAGGUUGGUGCAGUUUAACGGGUCUCAGGCAAUCGGUAUUGAACCGUAGGCGAGGGCCCUAGAGGCAGGGCUCGGUCCCGAGUUAUCCUUCUACAAUCGGAAGAAUAAUUGGUGGGUAACCCGGCGCCAAGCCAGGUAUCCAGAAACCAGAAAGCCAAAGGAUGAUGAUUUAUAGUGAGUUGGCAACACAUGGAUUUAAUCCAACCAGACCAGUCCAACUCUGCCAGCUGCACGGAAACCGAAAACUUGCGCCAAACGAGAGCAACUCUAUUGUGUACCAUUUUUAAAAUAGCAUUUUUUUGAGGAAUCAGGUUAAAAGUAAAUCACGUAAAAAUGAAUCGCAACGAGUUACAGUGUAGCGAACUUAAGAAUGACAAAAGUUGUAUUAAAUUAACUAAACAGUCAUAAAGAUGAUUUUAGUUUUACAUGGGUUUUGCAAUAGAAACUUUAAAAAAAUACAAGUUGUGUUUUUUGAAAGAUUAAA
Daphnia magna is the source of this 497-nucleotide long non-coding RNA. RefSeq lists it as uncharacterized. The record is from RefSeq and is a predicted model, not a curated record. The transcript is spliced from 2 exons. NCBI's taxonomy places the organism in Eukaryota, Metazoa, Arthropoda, Branchiopoda, Diplostraca, Daphniidae.